UACGUAGGUGACAAGCGUUGUCCGGAUUUACUGGGCGUAAAGAGCGCGUAGGCGGUCGUUCAAGUCGAGUGUGAAAGCCCCCGGCUCAACUGGGGAGGGUCAUUCGAUACUGAUCGACUCGAAGGCAGGAGAGGGUAGUGGAAUUCCCGGUGUAGUGGUGAAAUGCGUAGAUAUCGGGAGGAACACCAGUGGCGAAGGCGACUACCUGGCCUGUUCUUGACGCUGAGGCGCGAAAGCUAGGGGAGCAAACGGG
RNAcentral lists this ribosomal RNA (253 nucleotides) under uncultured bacterium. Its description in RNAcentral is "partial 16S ribosomal RNA". It matches the Rfam family "Bacterial small subunit ribosomal RNA", at positions 524 to 776 of the family's 1533-position model. The record is from RNAcentral.